This 460-nucleotide ribosomal RNA is filed under the name uncultured bacterium. RNAcentral's name for it is "partial 16S ribosomal RNA". It matches the Rfam family "Bacterial small subunit ribosomal RNA", at positions 29 to 523 of the family's 1533-position model. The record is from RNAcentral.
UACGAACGCUGGCGGCAUGCUUAACACAUGCAAGUCGAACGCUCUUGGGACUUCGGUUUUAAGAGAGUGGCAGACGGGUGAGUAACGCGUGGGAACGUACCUUUUGGUUCGGAAUAACGAUUGGAAACGAUCGCUAAUACCGGAUAGCCUCGAGAGAGGAAAGAUUUAUCGCCGAAGAGAGCGGCCCGCGUUAGAUUAGGUAGUUGGUGGGGUAAUGGCCUACCAAGCCUGCGAUCUAUAGCUGGUCUGAGAGGAUGAUCAGCCACACUGGGACUGAGGCACGGCCCAGACUCCUACGGGAGGCAGCAGUGGGGAAUAUUGGACAAUGGGGGAAACCCUGAUCCAGCCAUGCCGCGUGAGUGAUGAAGGCCUUCGGGUUGUAAAGCUCUUUUACCUGUGAAGAUAAUGACUGUAGCAGGGGAAUAAGCUCCGGCUAACAUCGUGCCAGCCGCCGCCGUAA